CGGGGCAUAGCGCAGUCUGGUAGCGCAUCGGCUUUGGGAGCCGAGGGUCGGGGGUUCGAAUCCCUCUGCCCCGACCA
RNAcentral lists this transfer RNA (77 nucleotides) under Proteobacteria bacterium SW_6_67_9. RNAcentral describes it as "tRNA-Pro". It matches the Rfam family "tRNA". Rfam says of the family: Transfer RNA (tRNA) molecules are approximately 80 nucleotides in length. Their secondary structure includes four short double-helical elements and three loops (D, anti-codon, and T loops). Lineage: Bacteria; Pseudomonadati; Pseudomonadota. The record is from RNAcentral.